Vagococcus fluvialis bH819 is the source of this 79-nucleotide non-coding RNA. NCBI's taxonomy places the organism in Bacteria, Bacillati, Bacillota, Bacilli, Lactobacillales, Enterococcaceae. The record is from Rfam.
CCACAACUACAACCGCACAUAUUAAGUAUUAAGUUCAUAUUAAUUUAUGACCCUUAAGUUGGCGAGUCUAAGUAAAGAA